RNAcentral lists this long non-coding RNA (2416 nucleotides) under Lathyrus oleraceus (garden pea). RNAcentral's name for it is "Pisum sativum (pea) long non-coding RNA (PSAT_LNC029136)". Lineage: Eukaryota; Viridiplantae; Streptophyta; Magnoliopsida; Fabales; Fabaceae. The record is from RNAcentral.
UUCCAAGAAUAUUUUAGAUACUGAGUGUCUUUUCUUCCAUACUUUUCACAAUCAAAUUGAGAUUCUAGAAAGGGACACGUUGAAGAGUUGUAGAGUAGAGGUUUUGAUGAAUUAUCAAUCACCCAACUUCCAGAAAACAAAUUACAACUAUUUAGAUGUUUUCUUCCUCUUCCAAAUGACUCUUUUGCUCUUACUUGGUGCAUAGACACAAGAAGAGCUAAACUAAACAUUGAAAGAAAAAUCAAGUUAUAAACAUUGGAACCCAUAUUAAGUGUUAGUGAAUAAUAACAAGGUGAUGUUAGUAUGUGCUAGUUGCUCAUAUAUAUAUAUAUAUAUAUAUAUAUAUAUAUAUNNNNAGAGAUUGUUCCAUGUAUCUGGUAGUCCUGGUAAGCACCAAUGACUGCAGUCACUACGAUGAUCUCAGUAUAGACAGAAGGGUGUGCAUCUUUUCUUAAUUGUGAGAGGAGGCGUUAUAUCAAGCAGAGAAACCUGCUUCUUCAUAUUCUUUAACACUUUGUUCACUACAUCAGUCGCGAGAGGAAGAGCGUUGGAUAUUUGGCCCGAGUACCGGUUCACUUCCCCGUUACAUGUUAUUAUUUGGUUCGUUCGCAUUCCUUGCCUCUAAGAAUCAAUGAAAAGAGAAUCAUUAAAUUUGUUUUCAAUUAUUCUUAUAAAAUGUAGAAUGUAAGAGUUACUUACUGGUAAUGAGUAGGGGAAAUCCCUUGAAAGAAGAGUUUAGUUUUGGAAGCAUCAACAUUUGCUUCAACCGCAUGAGCCCAAGUGGUUAAUCCUUUAUAAAAUGCUUCCAAACGGUCGCAUGUUCUUCACUAGAUCGGAACGCAUCUCUAAUGUAAUCCCAGCUGAUGUAACAAACUGAACAACCAUUAAAAUUGAGUUAGAAAAAAACAAUAAACGCUAUUGUAGACGAAAGCAAUAGCCUUUGUGAUUUUCCAGUGUGGAUCCACCAAUGGGCCAUGAGUUGAAGAUCAACAUGUCCAUGCCAAUCCAGCAUCACCAGCUUUAAUGGAAUUGAGCGUAAGAACUUGCCCAACAUUUUCCUUGAUUAUGUCCACCAAAAUGGUGUGGCGGUAUAGAUGGAUGGUCACUCCAUAGUCCUACACAAUAUCACCACUUAGUUAUUUCUCUAAGGUUAUAAUAUCAAAGUUUUGACUUCGUUUUUCUUUCUUAUAUAAAGUAUUUAUUAGUUUUUUUUUGGAUUUAAUCUAUUUAUAUUUAUAAUAAGUUCAGUAAUUAAAUUGGGUCAAAGUUUAAUUAAUUUUAUUUAUAUGAAAACUUUAUUAGUUUAAAAUUUUGAAUUUUUCAAAAAAAAAGAACUUUAUUAGUUAUUACAUAGAAGUAAUAUUUUUAAUUAAUAAAAAUAUUUAUACUAUAAUAUAAAAAGAUAACUAAUAAAAUAUACUUUCAACUUUGGUAUAAUAUUUUUUUGGAAAAUAUAUCUUUAACAAUAAAUAGUUUUUAAUUUAAAAAUAUAUACAAUGAAUAGUAAAUUGAAGAUAGUAAGUUCAAAUAUAUAAAUAUAUUAAAACAGAAAUAAAAAAUUAAUUUAAAUUAACUUAUACCAUAAAAUGAAUAUAAACAAAAAGUAACCAUGUCUGUCUUUUUUACUAGAUUAAAUUAUUUAAUACAUGAACAUACUCAAAUCUUUUUAAAUAUGUUAAUUAAAAAUAUUUGAUUUUUCUAACCUAAAAAAUAUCUUAUUUUAAUGUUUGCUUUAGGCCAAACAACUUAUGAAGCCCGUCCUAAAGCAAUUGUUGCUUGUUUGUAUGUUGUAUAACUUGAAAUAUAACAUAAUAAAACGAAAAACAAUUACCUUAAAGAUCACAGUUGAUAUUGGAUCUUUCUUUGAAAAUGAUGUAGCAGCAUUUGGUACAGAGGCGUGAAUCAUACAGGAUAAUGAUUCCCACAUGUUUAGACUCAAUGAAUCACCUACAAACAUUAUCUUCUUACCUUCCACUUGUUCAAGAAAUCCUCUCCAUUGAACCUACACCAAACAAAACAUGUUAAUUACAUAUAUUUAAACAUAUAUUUCUAAUAUUACAAAAGAACAGUUCGGAAACACUACCUUGGUAAGGAACUAUGAAUUUGGCUUCCAAGAAUAUUUUAGAUACGAGUGUCUUUUCUUCCAUACUUUCACAAUCAAAUUGAGAUUCAGAAAGGGACACGUUGAAGAGUUGUAGAGUAGAGGUUUUGAUGAAUUAUCAAUCACCCAACUUCCAGAAAACAAAUUACAACUAUUUAGAUGUUUUCUUCCUCUUCCAAAUGACUCUUUUGCCUUACUUGGUGGCAUAGACACAAGAAGAGCUAAACUAAACAUUGAAAGAAAAAUCAAGUUAUAAACAUUGGAACCCAUAUUAAGUGUUAGUGAUAAUAACAAGGUGAUGUUAGUAUGUGCUAG